GCAUGAAUGGUGUAGCGGUAACAUUCCACCCUUCCAUCAGAAAUGAAGUGUAAGGUGGAGCUCGGGGUUCGACUCCCCGUUCAUGCA
Molecule: transfer RNA, 87 nt
Filed under: Hypoxylon rubiginosum
Lineage: Eukaryota; Fungi; Ascomycota; Sordariomycetes; Xylariales; Hypoxylaceae
Description: tRNA-Gly
Rfam family: tRNA
About the family: Transfer RNA (tRNA) molecules are approximately 80 nucleotides in length.
Source: RNAcentral